GUGCUUGCUUCAGCAGCAUAUAUACUAAAAUUGGAACAAUAUAGACAUCAGCAUGACCUCUGUGCAAGAAUGACACACAAAUUGUGAAGUGUCCCACAAUUUU
Bison bison bison is the source of this 103-nucleotide small nuclear RNA. The record is from Ensembl. NCBI's taxonomy places the organism in Eukaryota, Metazoa, Chordata, Mammalia, Artiodactyla, Bovidae.